GAGUUUGAUCCUGGCUCAGGACGAACGCUGGCGGCGCGCCUAACACAUGCAAGUCGAACGGAGUAUUUGAGCGGAAGUUUUCGGACGGAAGUUUGGAUACUUAGUGGCGAACGGGUGAGUAACACGUGAGGAACCUGCCUUUCAGUGGGGGACAACAGUUGGAAACGACUGCUAAUACCGCAUAAGACCACAGCACCGCAUGGUGCAGUGAUCAAAGGAGCAAUUCGCUGAAAGAUGGCCUCGCGUCCGAUUAGCUAGUUGGUGAGGUAACGGCCCACCAAGGCCACGAUCGGUAGCCGGACUGAGAGGUCGAUCGGCCACAUUGGGACUGAGACACGGCCCAGACUCCUACGGGAGGCAGCAGUGGGGGAUAUUGCACAAUGGAGGAAACUCUGAUGCAGCGACGCCGCGUGAGGGAAGAAGGUCUUCGGAUUGUAAACCUCUGUCUUCAGGGACGAAACAAAUGACGGUACCUGAGGAGGAAGCCACGGCUAACUACGUGCCAGCAGCCGCGGAAAUACGUAGGUGGCAAGCGUUGUCCGGAAUUACUGGGUGUAAAGGGAGCGCAGGCGGGGAAGCAAGUUGGGAGUGAAAUCUAUGGGCUUAACCCAUAAAUUGCUUUCAAAACUGUUUUUCUUGAGUAGUGCAGAGGUAGGCGGAAUUCCCGGUGUAGCGGUGGAAUGCGUAGAUAUCGGGAGGAACACCAGUGGCGAACGCGGCCUACUGGGCACCAACUGACGCUGAGGCUCGAAAGUAUGGGUAGCAAACAGGAUUAGAUACCCUGGUAGUCCACGC
Molecule: ribosomal RNA, 795 nt
Filed under: uncultured bacterium
Lineage: Bacteria
Description: bacterial SSU rRNA
Rfam family: Bacterial small subunit ribosomal RNA
Source: RNAcentral